GUCCGUUAUGCCCUGAGAUGAGGCGGGCUGCACGCGCACUACGAUAGAUGGCGCUUCUGCCUGCUGUGAGGGAUGAAGCUGUGUAAGGGGCUUCUGAACGUGGAAUUCCUAGUAAUAGCGGCUGACGAAGCUGCUUUGAAUGUGUCCCUGUCCUUUGUACACACCGCCCGUCGCUAUCUAAGAUGACGCACUGGACGAAGAUCGGAAGGUCUGAGUCCUGAGUGUUAGAUAAGAUA
RNAcentral lists this ribosomal RNA (236 nucleotides) under uncultured Microsporidia. RNAcentral describes it as "partial 18S ribosomal RNA". It matches the Rfam family "Microsporidia small subunit ribosomal RNA", at positions 1016 to 1264 of the family's 1311-position model. Lineage: Eukaryota; Fungi; Microsporidia. The record is from RNAcentral.